AUGGGUAGGGGGGGGCUGUGGCUUUCCCCAUUUUUCCUUUUUCUUUUUUUUUUUUUUUCCUUCGAGCAGGACAUGGGUAUGGGGGUGGCUUCUCCCGGCGGCGAGGUCGAAGUCCCCACGCCUCGGGGGGGACACGUGGAGGGGCUGCAAGGCCAAUUCCUGAGCUCUCUGCGCUGUUCCUGCCCCUCCGCGCCCGGCACCAUCGCACCCCGACACCCCCCUGGCUCCCCAGCCCCUGCUCCCCCAUCCCAAAUCCCUCCUGCCAUCCCGCAGCACCUGGCUCUGCACCUCCCGCUGCCUUCGGUCCCCCUCCGGCACCAAGGCCAGGGCCAAAUUGUCACCUCCUUCGGGUCCCUGUCCCCUGCCACCCUGCUCCGCGCCACCUCUGCUGCUCUGCAUCCUUCCCGGGGACCAGGCACGCUGCGUUGGGUUAUUUUGGGGCUGCAGCCCCAAAAAUGCACAGAAAUACCCAGUCCCGUGUCCCUCGUGUCCUCUGUCCCCGCUCUGUCCCCUCUGCCCCAACCUCUGCCUGCUCACAGCUCUGCACCGCGCGCUCCUCCCUGCCCAAGCCAACACCCGGCCGCUCUCUGCGGGCUGCCAGGAAAAGCCGACACCAGAAUUGUCAACACAGAAAACAGGCAAAAAAGGCAAAAAAAAAAAAAAAAAGGAAAUUUACAUAUGCAAAGUAAAUCAGGCAAAUCCACUGCACCGUUCUCGUUACACCUCAGCAAGCUACACCGGGGGUGCUCGGCACUGGCAAAGCCCCCAAGCGUAAUCCCUGAAAGCGCAAGCACAGCCCGGAGCUCCCACUGCCACGCACGAACCCGGCCGCACUCUGCAGGGACCCCACGUGAGUGUGGUGACCCCAAACCUUCCCCGUGCCUGCCCGAGCCACGUAAUUUUGCCAUAUGGCUCCGACCCAGUGAGCUCGGCUCCGCCACCUCCUCUGGCCACCGGCACCGGGGACGGGCAGGGAGCAGGUCCCUGGUACCGUGGAGUGGCACAGGAGGGACAGAUCCUGAUUCCAAGCACGGUGUCUUUUUAAAAAAGUAUUAA
RNAcentral lists this long non-coding RNA (1056 nucleotides) under Anas platyrhynchos (mallard). Its description in RNAcentral is "lncRNA (ENSAPLG00020015765.1)". Lineage: Eukaryota; Metazoa; Chordata; Aves; Anseriformes; Anatidae. The record is from RNAcentral.